UACGUAGGGGGCAAGCGUUGUCCGGAAUUAUUGGGCGUAAAGCGCGCGCAGGCGGUGUAUUAAGUUGUGGGUAAAAGGCAAUGGCUCAACCAUUGUAAGCCUGCAAAACUGGUAGACUUGAGUGCAGGAGAGGGGAGUGGAAUUCCCGGUGUAGCGGUGGAAUGCGUAGAGAUCGGGAGGAACACCAGUGGCGAAGGCGACUCUCUGGCCUGUAACUGACGCUGAGGCGCGAAAGCGUGGGUAGCGAACAGG
RNAcentral lists this ribosomal RNA (252 nucleotides) under uncultured bacterium. RNAcentral's name for it is "partial 16S ribosomal RNA". It matches the Rfam family "Bacterial small subunit ribosomal RNA", at positions 524 to 776 of the family's 1533-position model. The record is from RNAcentral.